UGGGUACAAGUAGCUUAAUUGCAUACCAGUUUUUUCUUCUCACUCUUCCCCAUCUCCUGCCAGCCUUCCCUCCUCCUGCCAGUUGGGCUAUCUGCCUUAGUGCCAACUGCUGUUCCCUGGAAUCCUUGAGUCAAGAAGGCAGCAGGACGGUAUACAACAGCCCAGCUGCAGGAAUAGCCUGGUAGAGAGAGACGCAGGAGGACAGGCAUCGUGCAGAAGGAAAAUUUACAAUCACGGGCCUGGGCCUCCUUCUUAUUACAUUUUACACAGAGCAAGCUAGAUUGAGUUACAGCUGAGUUCCCAUCUGCUUUACCGGCACUGUUUCCAGACCCAAGGAUCGCAGGAUGGAUUAAUUUCAAGAAAAAAACCAAAGCUGACUCGGGAGAUUGGAAGAGGAAACAGAACCGUCUUGCACCUCUACUUGAGUAUAGAUUGAAGCUCACCCAAGUUGUGCAACAUCUGUUGGGAAUCAGCAUGGAGCAGCCCGAUGUGAUUGCUGAAGAAGCACUGUGACGGGCGCAGGAAGCAUCUCCCGCACAACUUACAGGCCUGUGCCCUUCCUGGGGUAUCUUGUGGCCUGUGGA
Molecule: long non-coding RNA, 584 nt
Organism: Chelonia mydas (Green sea turtle)
Lineage: Eukaryota; Metazoa; Chordata; Testudines; Cheloniidae
Exons: 3
Source: RefSeq, a predicted model, not a curated record